Molecule: ribosomal RNA, 497 nt
Filed under: uncultured bacterium
Lineage: Bacteria
Description: partial 16S ribosomal RNA
Rfam family: Bacterial small subunit ribosomal RNA
Source: RNAcentral
GAUGAACGCUGGCGGCGUGCCUAAUACAUGCAAGUAGAACGCUGAAGGAAGGAGCUUGCUCUUUCCGGAUGAGUUGCGCACGGGUGAGUAACGCGUAGGUAACCUGCCUGGUAGCGGGGGAUAACUAUUGGAAACGAUAGCUAAUACCGCAUAACAGUAGAUGUUGCAUGAUAUCUACUUAAAAGGUGCAAUUGCACCACUACCAGAUGGACCUGCGUUGUAUUAGCUAGUUGGUGAGGUAACGGCUCACCAAGGCGACGAUACAUAGCCGACCUGAGAGGGUGGUCGGCCACACUGGGACUGAGACACGGCCCAUACUCCUACGGGAGGCAGCAGUAGGGAAUCUUCGGCAAUGGACGGAAGGCUGACCGAGCAACGCCGCGUGAGUGAAGAAGGUUGUCGGAUCGUAAAGCUCUGUUGUAAGAGAAGAACGAGUGUGAGAGUGGAAAGUUCACACUGUGACGGUAUCUUACCAGAAAGCGACGGCUAACUACGUG